This 721-nucleotide long non-coding RNA is filed under the name Homo sapiens (human). Its description in RNAcentral is "non-protein coding lnc-SOAT1-2:1". Lineage: Eukaryota; Metazoa; Chordata; Mammalia; Primates; Hominidae. The record is from RNAcentral.
CUCAGCCUUCCCCACUACAAUGUGACAGAAUAUGUAGACUGGAUGUACUUUUACAAGUAUGAGCCAAUUUACAGAUGAGGCUUUCACUUCACAUUUUGAGAGCAUUCAAACUGCUCUGAUCAAAAUCCAAUUCUGGUUAUCCUAGUGACCUCCCACCCCUCAGAUGUGAAAGCCAGACAGGCCAUUAGAGUUACUUGGGGUGAAAAAAAUUAUGGCAUUCAGGUGGGUAACUGAGUUUUGCCCCAUUGCCAACUACAUCAUGACAACAGACACUUAUGUGUUCAUCAAUACUGGCAAUUUAGUGUAGUAUCUUUUAAACUUAAACCACUCAGAGAAGUUUUUCACAGGUUAUCCCCUAAUUGAUAAUUAUUCCCAUAGAGGAUUUUACCAAAAAAAAAAAAAAACGUAUUUCAUACCAGGAGUGUCCUUUCAAGGUGUUUCCUCCCUACUGCAGUGGGUUGGGUUAUACAAUGCCCAAAGAUUUGGUGCCAAGGAUCCAUGAAAUGAUGGGUCACGUAAAACCCAUGAUGUUUAUGUCAGGAUCUGUUUGAAUUUAUUAAAAGUGGACAUUCAUAUUCCAGAAGACACGAAUCUUUUCUUUCUAUAUAGAAUCCAUUCAGAUGUCUGUCAAUUUGGAUGUGUGAUUGCAGCCCACGGCUUUUCUUCCAAGGAGAUGAUCACUUUUUAGCAGAUUAUGCUAUGGAACAUCACAUGCCAUUAA